GACUCUGGGAUAACUGCGGGAAACUGUAGCUAAUACCGGAUACGACCUUGGAAGGCAUCUUCCGGGGUGGGAAGGUUUUCGGUCAAGGAUCAGCUCGCGGCCUAUCAGCUAGUUGGUGAGGUAACGGCUCACCAAGGCAACGACGGGUAGCCGGCCUGAGAGGGUGACCGGCCACACUGGGACUGAGACACGGCCCAGACCCCUACGGGAGGCAGCAGUGGGGAAUAUUGCACAAUGGGCGAAAGCCUGAUGCAGCAACGCCGCGUGAGGGACGAAGGCCUUCGGGUUGUAAACCUCUUUUAGUAGGGAAGAAGCGAAAGUGACGGUACCUGCAGAAAAAGCACCGGCUAACUACGUGCCAGCAGCCGCGGUAAUACGUAGGGUGCAAGCGUUGUCCGGAAUUAUUGGGCGUAAAGAGCUCGUAGGCGGUUUGUCGCGUCUGCUGUGAAAACCCGAGGCUCAACCUCGGGCCUGCAGUGGGUACGGGCAGACUAGAGUGCGGUAGGGGAGAAUGGAAUUCCUGGUGUAGCGGUGGAAUGCGCAGAUAUCAGGAGGAACACCAAUGGCGAAGGCAGUUCUCUGGGCCGUAACUGACGCUGAGGAGCGAAAGCGUGGGGAGCAAACAGGAUUAGAUACCCUGGUAGUCCACGCCGUAAACGUUGGGCGCUAGUUGUGGGGACCAUUCCACGGUCUCCGUGACGUAGCUAACGCAU
Molecule: ribosomal RNA, 713 nt
Filed under: uncultured bacterium
Lineage: Bacteria
Description: bacterial SSU rRNA
Rfam family: Bacterial small subunit ribosomal RNA
Source: RNAcentral